Molecule: ribosomal RNA, 697 nt
Filed under: Hawksworthiomyces lignivorus
Lineage: Eukaryota; Fungi; Ascomycota; Sordariomycetes; Ophiostomatales; Ophiostomataceae
Description: LSU rRNA
Rfam family: Eukaryotic large subunit ribosomal RNA
Source: RNAcentral
AUUUGGAGAGGAUGCUUUUGGCGCGGCGCCUUCCGAGUUCCUUGGAACAGGACGCCAUAGAGGGUGAGAGCCCCGUACGGUCGGACGCCUAGCCUAUACAAAGCUCNUUCGACGAGUCGAGUAGUUUGGGAAUGCUGCUCAAAAUGGGAGGUAAAUUUCUUCUAAAGCUAAAUACCGGCCAGAGACCGAUAGCGCACAAGUAGAGUGAUCGAAAGAUGAAAAGCACUUUGAAAAGAGAGUUAAACAGUACGUGAAAUUGUUGAAAGGGAAGCGCCUGUGACCAGACUUGCGCCCUACGGACCACCCAGCGUUCUCGCUGGUGCACUCUGCAGGGCGCAGGCCAGCAUCGGUUCUCCCAGGGGGAUAAAGGCCGCAGGAACGUAGCUCUUUCGGGAGUGUUAUAGCCUGUGGUGCCAUGCCUCUGAGGGGACCGAGGACCGCGCUUCGGCAAGGAUGCUGGCGUAAUGGUCACUAGCGACCCGUCUUGAAACACGGACCAAGGAGUCAAGCAUUGGGGCGAGUGUCUGGGUGCCAAACCCGCACGCGAAAUGAAAGUAAACGUAGGUGAGAGCUUCGGCGCAUCAUCGACCGAUCCUGAUGUAUUCGGAUGGAUUUGAGUAAGAGCCUUACCGCUUGGACCCGAAAGAUGGUGAACUAUGCCUGUAUAGGGUGAAGCCAGAGGAAACUCUGGUGGAGG